Small nuclear RNA from Pygocentrus nattereri (red-bellied piranha), 189 nucleotides. Its record names the gene U2. It matches the Rfam family "U2 spliceosomal RNA". From Rfam's summary of the family: U2 is a small nuclear RNA (snRNA) component of the spliceosome (involved in pre-mRNA splicing). Complementary binding between U2 snRNA (in an area lying towards the 5' end but 3' to hairpin I) and the branchpoint sequence (BPS) of the intron results the bulging out of an unpaired adenosine, on the BPS, which initiates a nucleophilic attack at the intronic 5' splice site, thus starting the first of two transesterification reactions that mediate splicing. NCBI's taxonomy places the organism in Eukaryota, Metazoa, Chordata, Actinopteri, Characiformes, Serrasalmidae. The record is from Ensembl.
AUCACUUCUCGGGCUUUUGGCUAAGAGAUCAAGUGUAGUAUUUGUUCUUAUCAGUUUAAUAUCUGAUACGUCCUCUAUAUGAGGACUACAUAUUAAACUGAUUUUUAGAACAGGGAGACGGAAGAGGGGCUUGCUCCGUCCGCUCCACUUUUUUGGGGCAGUCAUGGGCUGGAGGUUAGGGAACUGGCC